CAGGAAGUAGUUUAUUUAAAAUAUUAAUUUUGGAGAUUAAUGAUGGGCUAUAAUUUUCCUUUCCUGA
Molecule: transfer RNA, 67 nt
Filed under: Pachybrachis sp. ReAss_5
Lineage: Eukaryota; Metazoa; Arthropoda; Insecta; Coleoptera; Chrysomelidae
Description: tRNA-Pro
Source: RNAcentral